UACGUAGGGUGCAAGCGUUGUUCGGAAUCAUUGGGCGUAAAGCGCGUGUAGGUGGUUAAUUAAGUCGAUUGUGAAAGCCCUCGGCUCAACCGAGGAAGUGCAGUCGAAACUGACUAGCUAGAGGACGGCAGAGGAAGGUGGAAUUCCAAGUGUAGAGGUGAAAUUCGUAGAUAUUUGGAGGAAUACCUGUGGCGAAGGCGGCCUUCUGGACCGGUCCUGACACUGAGACGCGAAAGCGUGGGGAGCAAACAGG
RNAcentral lists this ribosomal RNA (253 nucleotides) under uncultured bacterium. Its description in RNAcentral is "partial 16S ribosomal RNA". It matches the Rfam family "Bacterial small subunit ribosomal RNA", at positions 524 to 776 of the family's 1533-position model. The record is from RNAcentral.